RNAcentral lists this ribosomal RNA (253 nucleotides) under uncultured bacterium. RNAcentral's name for it is "partial 16S ribosomal RNA". It matches the Rfam family "Bacterial small subunit ribosomal RNA", at positions 524 to 776 of the family's 1533-position model. The record is from RNAcentral.
UACAGAGGGUGCGAGCGUUAAUCGGAAUUACUGGGCGUAAAGAGCUCGUAGGCGGUUUGUCGCGUCUGCCGUGAAAGUCCGGGGCUCAACUCCGGAUCUGCGGUGGGUACGGGCAGACUAGAGUGAUGUAGGGGAGACUGGAAUUCCUGGUGUAGCGGUGAAAUGCGCAGAUAUCAGGAGGAACACCGAUGGCGAAGGCAGGUCUCUGGGCAUUAACUGACGCUGAGGAGCGAAAGCAUGGGGAGCGAACAGG